Lycium ferocissimum is the source of this 1491-nucleotide RNA transcript. It is a transcript of the gene named probable beta-1,3-galactosyltransferase 14, with no coding region annotated. Lineage: Eukaryota; Viridiplantae; Streptophyta; Magnoliopsida; Solanales; Solanaceae. The record is from RefSeq and is a predicted model, not a curated record. The transcript is spliced from 8 exons.
ACAACCUUAAAGAUUCACACAAUAUCCAUUAGAACCUUAAAGAUCCAACCUUUAACAUUAAAUCUUGAUUCUUUUUCAUUUUCUCAACAACCCCUUUACCUCAAAAUGCCUACAAACCCAAAAGUUUUCACUGCCAGAUCAUACUACUACAACUCUAGGAGAUCAACAAUUUUAACACUAUGUUUUAUAAUCGGUUUUACUGGGUUUAUAUUCGGGUUUACUGCAAUUUCAAAGCGGGUUUUAGGAGGGUAUAACUGUAAAUAUGCUGAACCAAGAUCUGUUUCAGUUGCUUGGGAUAGAAGAACUAGUAUAGGAAGUGGAGGAGGAGCCAUGGUGGAAAAAGAAAGUGGGCUUACUGAUGGAGAGUAUAAGAGGCAUAAAGUUAUGGGUUUUGUUGGAAUUCAAACCGGGUUCGGGUCGGUUGCUCGAAGGAGGUCAUUGAGAAGGACUUGGUUUCCAUCUGAUCACAAUGGGCUUCAAAAGUUAGAAGAAGCGACUGGCUUGGCUUUUAGAUUUGUUAUUGGUAGAACAAGUGAUAAAUCUAAGAUGUCAGCGCUUAAGAAAGAGGUAGCAGAAUAUGAUGAUUUUGUACUAUUAGACAUUGAAGAAGAGUACAGUAAGCUCCCAUACAAAACCUUAGCGUUUUUCAAGGCUGCCUAUGCACUUUAUGAUUCCGAGUUCUAUGUUAAAGCUGAUGAUGACAUAUAUUUACGGCCAGAUCGCCUUUCAUUGCUCUUGGCCAAAGAGCGGUCUCACUCACAAACUUACCUUGGUUGCAUGAAAAAGGGUCCAGUUUUCACCGACCCCAAACUCAAAUGGUAUGAACCACUUUCAUCUAUUCUAGGGAAGGAGUAUUUUCUGCAUGCUUAUGGUCCUAUUUAUGCUCUUUCCGCUGAUGUUGUUGCAAGUUUGGUUGCCCUGAGGAACAACAGUCAAAGGAGUGAUAGCUCAUUAGUUUUCUACUUUACCUGUGAAUUCUCAGUUUCCGAAUGUUUAGCAAUGAGGAUGUUACCAUUGGAGCGUGGAUGCUUGCGAUGAAUGUCAAUCAUGAGAACAAUAAGCAACUAUGUGAACCAGAGUGUACAGCUUCAUCUAUUGCUGUGUGGGAUAUUCCAAAGUGUUCAGGUCUGUGUAAUCCAGAGAAGAAAAUGUUAACACUUCAUGCAAACGACGUCUGCUCAAAGAGUCCCACUCUACCAUCAGAAGAUGAUUAAUGGGCUUGAUCAAUUUUGACUGCUGGAUUUUAGUCUUCCCUGGAAGAUCAUUUGUGUAUUUUGUAGGCCACUUAUGAGAUAUGGUUGUAAAAUAGAUAUAUUUUUUUCCAUUGAUUGAUGUUGCACAAAACUUAAAUGGAAUGACAUGAACAAUUAUUGAUGAUUCAUAUAGCUGAACCCGACUUGCUGGGGAUCGAGGUGUAGUUAUUGUUGUUGUACUGAUGUUGCACAAACCGAUGAGAACUUUGAUAGUAAAUGGAAUUUUUUCUAUUUGCAA